GAUAAACAACAGAUUUUUAUUUAUUUUUGCCAUGUCUAACAGAGCCUUUGCAGCUAUAACUACCUGCAGAUUUUUCCCUGGAGACAGCAAUAAAUAAGAAGGUAAAAAAGGGCAUCUGUGGCUGCCUCACAAUCAAGAGGGCCAACUUCAAAAACAAUUCCAGGAUAUGCAAAAACGCCGCUUCGACAAACACCGUUCCUCCUCACUUAUAUACGCCACUUCCCUUCGGUUCUCUUCGGAAACGAUCGAGAAGUCUCGGGAGUCCCGCGAAGAACCAACCUUAAACAGAGGAGCCGCGGUGUGUCGACCGUUCGGCCAUCUUCGGUACAUUCAUGUGUUUUUUUUUCUCGACCAUUUCCGAAUUCCUUCGGCUAUUUCCGGUUCCUCUCGGGGAAUUCCGGCCUCGCUCGGUCUCCGGGGAAGUAGCAGCUGCCGCACCGCCACCGCCGGAGCAGUAGUUAGAAGUCUUGGCGGAAUGGAAGAGCCUCAGAGGGUGCAGGAUGUGGGCGUGCCCCGCGCCUCGAAUCUCCCUGGGGACCCCGAGCCUGAAGAGACCAUCCGAAGCCUGCAAGCCCAGUUGGCAGCCGCCUUGGCCGAAGUGGAGACAGUCCGAGCUGUGGCUGCAGUGAGUGAAGGCACCAAGCAGGAGGCGGUGGAGGCUGUCCAGCGCCGGUGCCAGGAAGAGGUGGCUUCCUUGCAGACUAUCUUGAAAGAUACCAUUUCCAGCUACGAGGCCCGUCUGUCAGCAUUCCAACGUGACAACCGGGAAAACAUUUGGAGCAGGCUGCCAAGGACCAACCCUCUGGACUCAUUGGAGAAACAGAUGGAAAAAGCACAAGAGGAUACUCAGCGACUCCGGGCCAUUGUUCUGCCGAUGGAGCAGGAAAUUGCUGAAUUGAAAGCAAAACUGGCCCAUGCUGAGAGUCUGGUUCAGGAGCUGCAGAGUGAGGAGCAUUCCUUAUGUAGUUCGGCUGAAUCCCUUCUUGCUGAACCCGAGGCUGUGUCCACGGAUUUGCCUGGAAGUCACCAGGUUCCUUUGAUGGAAGGAGGAGUAGCAGAGAAGUUUGCCUGUAGUCUGGACAGCAUCUCCAUUGCUUCAUUUUCCUCUUUGGGACCAAGUUCUGGGCCUUCUGUCCGACGCAGAUGUUCCCCAAGCCCUGAGACUUGUUCCAUUGCCUCUUCAACUGGAACCCUGGUGCCUGAGACUAUUUAUCUACCACCAGUGGGAUACCAGCUUGUAUCUGAAUCAGAGUGGGCUCAGCUCCAAGAACAGGUGCAACAGCAACGUGGAACUCUGGACGAGCGAGCCAAGGAAAAAGCUAAUCUGGAGGAGGCAUUGAGACGUAGCACUGAAGAGUGCAGUAAGCAGGUUCAGGUUCUUUUGACUCAGAUCCAGACAUCAGAGAACCUUCUCCAAAGCCUCCAAGCCACUGUGAGUGAAACCCAGCGGCGGACUCAAGAGCAGUUGGCUGAUUUGGCUGCAUCCCACAAACGCCUCAGCUACGAAGUGCAACGUCUCAAUGCCGAGAAUGAAGGUCUGCGGGGGAUGAGUGCCCAGGAUUCUCCUCCAACAGAGGGUGAAACUAGAAGUUUGCCCAGCACAGUGCCGGAGUUGCAAACCAUGGUGUCCAAGCUGAGACAAGAGUCUGCCUUACAACUUCGGGCUGCAGAGCAUCAGGCUGAGCGCCUGCGAAUUGAAAUUAUAUCCUUGCGGGAACGGCUGGAUGAAGAAACCGCAUCCCAGUCAAGCCUGAAGGGAGCUCUGGAGAGAGAGCAGGAAGAAAGAGAGCUUUUGCAAGCCUCUUUGAAUAGUAUUCAGAGUGAGAUGGAAAGGCUGCAACAAGGGCAAGAAGAGCUGAAUAGAAUUCAGGGCCUGAAUUCUCAGAGAUUUCACAAAUCUCGCAAUGUUUGAUACAAUCUCAGGGAAUUCUGGGAGUUCAAAUUCUAAUCUAUCCGGAAGUCAUCACAUUGGGAAAAAUUGCAGCCUGAUGUGAGAGAAGCCAGUACACUACCAGGGAAGCCAGAGGCUUAGACUGAGGAUAAAGAAAUUGGGCCUCUCUGUCUUCCCAUCCCUGACACUCCAGGAACCUCAGGGAAAUCAUGACUUUCCAGGCACCAAUAGGUCAACUUGCUCCUCCAGAGCCUCUUCAGGUCUUACCUCUGCAUGGAUAGGAGUACCAGAACUCUGGAGGUAGGGAUGGCUGGGUUCUUUUGUUACUCCCCGCAACCCUUGUCCGGACACUGGAGCCUCCAGAGCAUAAUAAAUAAGAUUAUUUUUGUAAUUUUCUUAGCCUUUGCCUCUCCCUUUCAAGGUUAAUUAACUAAGGUUGGGGGGGGGGGGUUUAGCACAAAAUAUUAUGACCCUGACAAAAAUGCAUAGUACAAGCAUCAAAGUGGCCUACUCAAAACAAAAGCAAUAGGAAUAGUGGCACCUCUACUUUUCAAGAUAAUAUUGCAGCUUGCAAGCAGUUUAAACAUUUAUAACAAAUGCUAUUUUGCAUCUAUGUUAUCCUACCUCUUUUAUACAAGGCAGAUGGAAAGAAUUCAGCUGAAAGGGCUUCUAUGGUGGCUGCUUUCUUCCUUUUGUCUUCUUUUCAGAGGCCCUAGUCAAACAGUUUGGCUUCACCCUUUGCACCAAAUUAUAUAUUGCUGAAUAAAUCACAAUGGUUAUAUCUCCCAUACCCCUAUGUCAAAGCCAAACGAAUGACAUUGUUUAGCCUGAUGUAUAAACACAAUUCCCAUCAAAAAGACUGUGAAAUCAACUUGUGUGAAGUCAACCUGCAACUCCUAGCUUAAGUCUGACUCAAGCUUCAGGUACUCCUAACUCUACUGUAUCCUUGAAAAUAGUCAGUGUAUCUGGGACUUCUGGGUGAUGAAAAUGGCAAAUUUGAAAGCAUGGAGACAACACUGAGGCUGGAACUCUGACUUUUCUGAGGCUGGAACUCUGACUUUCUCUGACAAGGAAAAGCCCAAGAGAUUGCCCAAUGCCCAUGUGCAAUCUGGAUUUCAGCUUGCGAGGAAGCCUGCAGAAUCAAAAAAGAAUAUGCAGGUACAUUGUAAGGAAAGGGUACCAGGGGCUAUGAAAGGAAGGGUUGCAGCUCCAGCAAAGUCUUUAUUUAAAAUGGGUGUUGGGUCCAUCUAAAUCAUCCUGAGCAACAAAGUCCACCCAGAGCAACAAAGAUGGUUAGAGGACUGGAGAAUAAAACAUUUAAAGAAUGGUUGCUGGAACUGGUAUUGUCUCAUCCAGGGGUGUCAAACUCAAAGCCCGUGGGCUUGAUCUGGCCUGCAAUAUAGUUGGAUCCGGUCCAUAGGGCUGUCCUGGUCUACCCAAUGUGAAGAGGAAAGAUCAGCCAGUGUAGCUUCAGCCCAGUCUACCUGGUGCGAAGAGGAAAGAUCAGGCC
RNA transcript from Pseudonaja textilis, 3401 nucleotides. It is a transcript of the gene named rabaptin, RAB GTPase binding effector protein 2, with no coding region annotated. NCBI's taxonomy places the organism in Eukaryota, Metazoa, Chordata, Lepidosauria, Squamata, Elapidae. The record is from RefSeq and is a predicted model, not a curated record.